UGGAGAAAAGCAGGGGAUCGCAAGACCUUGCGCUUUUGGAGUGGCCGAUGCCUGAUUAGCUAGUUGGUAGGGUAAUGGCUUACCAAGGCGACGAUCAGUAGUUGGUCUGAGAGGACGACCAGCCACACUGGGACUGAGACACGGCCCAGACUCCUACGGGAGGCAGCAGUGGGGAAUUUUGGACAAUGGGCGAAAGCCUGAUCCAGCAAUGCCGCGUGAGUGAAGAAGGCCUUCGGGUUGUAAAGCUCUUUCAGUCGAGAAGAAAAGGUUGUGACUAAUAAUCACAACUCAUGACGGUAUCGACAGAAGAAGCACCGGCUAACUACGUGCCAGCAGCCGCGGUAAUACGUAGGGUGCGAGCGUUAAUCGGAAUUACUGGGCGUAAAGGGUGCGCAGGCGGCUUUGUAAGUCAGAUGUGA
RNAcentral lists this ribosomal RNA (419 nucleotides) under uncultured ammonia-oxidizing beta proteobacterium. RNAcentral describes it as "bacterial SSU rRNA". It matches the Rfam family "Bacterial small subunit ribosomal RNA", at positions 197 to 597 of the family's 1533-position model. The record is from RNAcentral. Lineage: Bacteria; Pseudomonadati; Pseudomonadota; Betaproteobacteria.